AGCGGAAUAGUAGCAGUUGGUAGCUCGUCAGGCUCAUAUCCUGAAGGUCGGUGGUUCGAGUCCACCUUCCGCAA
RNAcentral lists this transfer RNA (74 nucleotides) under Caudoviricetes sp. RNAcentral describes it as "tRNA-Met". It matches the Rfam family "tRNA". Rfam says of the family: Transfer RNA (tRNA) molecules are approximately 80 nucleotides in length. Their secondary structure includes four short double-helical elements and three loops (D, anti-codon, and T loops). Lineage: Duplodnaviria; Heunggongvirae; Uroviricota; Caudoviricetes. The record is from RNAcentral.